This 543-nucleotide ribosomal RNA is filed under the name uncultured bacterium. RNAcentral's name for it is "bacterial SSU rRNA". It matches the Rfam family "Bacterial small subunit ribosomal RNA", at positions 355 to 896 of the family's 1533-position model. The record is from RNAcentral.
UGAGGAAUAUUGGUCAAUGGGCGAGAGCCUGAACCAGCCAAGUCGCGUGAAGGAAGACAGUCCUAAGGAUUGUAAACUUCUUUUAUACGGGAAUAACGGGCGAUACGAGUAUUGCAUUGAAUGUAUCGUAAGAAUAAGCAUCGGCUAACUCCGUGCCAGCAGCCGCGGUAAUACGGAGGAUGCGAGCGUUAUCCGGAUUUAUUGGGUUUAAAGGGUGCGUAGGUUGUUCGGUAAGUCAGCGGUGAAACCUGAGCGCUCAACGUUCAGCCUGCCGUUGAAACUGCCGGGCUUGAGUUCAGCGGCGGCAGGCGGAAUUCGUGGUGUAGCGGUGAAAUGCAUAGAUAUCACGAGGAACUCCGAUUGCGAAGGCAGCUUGCCAUACUGCGACUGACACUGAAGCACGAAGGCGUGGGUAUCAAACAGGAUUAGAUACCCUGGUAGUCCACGCAGUAAACGAUGAUUACUAGGAGUUUGCGAUAUACCGUCAAGCUUCCACAGCGAAAGCGUUAAGUAAUCCACCUGGGGAGUACGCCGGCAACGGUG